CACAAUUCAUGCCCAUGUCUUUAUCCAAUGAAAACGAUAGCUCUUUAUUAUGUCGCCUACACAUAUCUACUUUUACUAUGCUUUAAUUGCCUUUCCCCAAUCCAGUGUUUAAUCCCAGAACCAGCCCCUACGCCCAAAUGAAUAACGAGAUAAGCACACCAAUCACAGGAUAAAUCCAACGACCGUAACCGGACAAAAAUAUACAAAACCUAAAACCAGUAGCCACCACCCUGUUCUCUGAUCUCUCACACCUCAAUAUUUUUUCAAGUUUCAAGAAAAUGCCUCUUUCCUUUAACCCCCAGACUAGCCAAGGCCUUCCAGUUUGUCUUUCUGGGAUCAAUCUUCAUCCUUUUUCUUUCUCCAAGGAGUAUUUUCCCUUUUCACUUCAUGCUCCCCCCCCCCCGCCCCCCCAACAAAUCACACAUACGCAGCUAAUAGUCUAAUUAAUUCUCUCGUCUUCUUUUUUUCCUUCUUUUUGGUGCAGAAUGGCAGAUCAUGACAGAAGAAGGAAGGCCAUAAAAAAGAUGAAAUCGCAAGCUCUGCAUAUAGGUCAAGGAAGGACAAGGAAUGGGGGAGUGAAUAGAAAUGGAGAUGUUGCUUGCUUUUCUUUGGCUUGUUCAGCCAAGGCAGCAUAAUUUCACUGAAUUUUAAUUAGCGCUAGUUUUUUAGGUUUGAUUAGUUUUAUGGGCUUGUUUUAAAUUUACUCCGUUUUGUAGAUCCGUGUUUGAUUUGAUCUUUUUUCUUAAAUUUUGACUGAAGAUCUGCAGUAUGAUGAAGGCUUAUUAAUCGGUGUAUGUAUGCUUUCUUUAAGCUAAUUUUUUUUAUCAUUAUUUUGAAUGUAGAGAAAGCAAGUAUUGAGUGACUAAGGGUUGCGCGUCCGGCCAUGGUCGGGCUCUGACAUCUGUAUUUAACGAUCUCUAGUGUUGAUUGAUGAAGGAUGCACCUCCGGAGCGGUGGUGUGAGACUGUGAGGGGCAAGUCUUACUUAGGUGUUUCCGACCUGAUUAAGUGGGAAGUCUGGAUUCUUUCAUUAAAGGAAGAAGGGCAUUUGCGAGCAAGAAAGCUUCAUUCUCAAAGUCAGCUCUCUCCCUUCUUGCUUUAGUUUUCAUGACAUGCCUAAAAAUGGUAAGGACCUUGUCUCUGCCAAUCUAAAAGACCUAUUAGGGGUCGUUAAGAAAGCGAAGGAGCCAGCCAUUUGUCAAGGCCCAGGAAUCCUCUGGACAUGUCAGUCCUAACCCGCUAAUUCUGGAUGUAGUUUCAUAAGAGGUUAAAUAGGGACGAACUUACAAUCUUUCAUACCUUUUUCCAAUGCCAUUAAGGAAAUGGAAAGGCAACUACUACCUCCAUGUGUUUCCAUCGGAUAUUUGGCAUAUUAUGUUUAAUCCUUCUUGAAAAAUUUAUGUUCGCUAAGAAAGUGCAAAUAGCAAGUGCACGAAUUGUGUUCAAGUAAUAAAGUAGACUUUUGAGUUUGAGUUGUCAAUCACUCGAGGAAUGUUUAUUUUUGAUUA
RNAcentral lists this long non-coding RNA (1507 nucleotides) under Olea europaea subsp. europaea. The record is from RNAcentral. Lineage: Eukaryota; Viridiplantae; Streptophyta; Magnoliopsida; Lamiales; Oleaceae.